UGUGUUCUUAUAUUUAUAUAAAACGAAAGGGUGUUUAGGGUAGGUCUCGCUGAAUAUUAUUUAUUCUCAAGGUCACUCAUUUUCACCCGGGCUUUUGGCGUUUGAGCCUUCUUGUCAGUACUGUGGAUUUUUUCUUGCACAAACUAAGUAUGAAGAAACAUCUCUGAAUCUUCUAUAUCUGCUCACUGACAGAAGGACGUAAUUUGAGCUGUGAGUGUAUUAUACUGUAGACUGGAAAGUGCUGAAUCCGGCAGCGCAAGGCGGAGUGACUGGCCAUACGUCGUACUCAUCCUGAUGUUGAGUAUAUGCAGCAUUCACAGAAGAACAUAUGGUGAACCAAGAGUUUUGGCCUCCACAGUCAUCAGACCUAAAAGUAUGACUUUUAUCUGUGGGAUUAAUUUAGGGUAAAGUUUAUGAAACUAAUCCCCAGACAGUCCCUGACUGAAACAGCAAAUUGAAAAUAAUGUCCAGAAUAACGAAUGUGUGAAGUUGCAGAAGGUAUUUCUGAACAAUACAUGGUAAGAUGGACACAACUUUGCCAAGCCACUAGCAGACACCACUUCUAGCAUGUCCUGCAACAGGCCUAUUGACCGGCCAUUACCCCACUAGUGCCGCAUACUAAUGUAUCCUUACUAGCAUCAGGGUAAUUUUCCACCUAUUUUUCCCUCACUAGCUGACUUUUCCUCCAUCUGUUCCAUCUCUGUUUCUUUUCAAUUUUCUUUUUUCAAUUUUCAUUUCCUCUUUAUAUCUUUCCUAUAUCCCCUUUUUAUUUUUAUCACUUAUAAUUUUUUGUGCAUUUUUAUUUUAAUUUUAUUUAAUCUCCACCUUUAUCCUGAUUGUUCUUCUUAUUUGAGGUCCUCUACAUCUUCUUCCCCUGCAUUAUUUAAAUUUUAAACUUUUUAGUUUUGCUACCUUUUCUAAUACCAUUCCAUUGACUUCUCUACUACCUAUCUGUAUCCAUUUAUCCUUCCAUUCCCUCUGCGUUUUCUGUACUGAUUGACACACAUUAA
Bufo bufo (common toad) is the source of this 1010-nucleotide long non-coding RNA. RefSeq lists it as uncharacterized. The record is from RefSeq and is a predicted model, not a curated record. Lineage: Eukaryota; Metazoa; Chordata; Amphibia; Anura; Bufonidae. The transcript has 3 exons.